Molecule: long non-coding RNA, 1724 nt
Organism: Micropterus salmoides (largemouth bass)
Lineage: Eukaryota; Metazoa; Chordata; Actinopteri; Centrarchiformes; Centrarchidae
Exons: 2
Source: RefSeq, a predicted model, not a curated record
AUCCUGCUGCGCUGCGAGAUGAUGGAAACCAACUCUUCCAGACAAAAUGGGACAGAAUCCCGACAAAAUCAAAUUUUUCUGUUCUUCCUCGAUUUUUUAUUAGAAAACGCAGCUGCACGUGUAGGUGUGGUGUAGCAAAAUGGCUGUAGAACAGCAGCGGCAGUGUCCUACAGCGAGACGCAGCUGGAUCUUCCAGGCCAGUGGUGUCAGCCAACCAGCCAGCUCUGUCCUCCCUCCCCUCCCUCCUACAAGCCUCAUUAUGAGAGGGAGAAAGCUCAAGGAUACCCUCUCCUCCCCCAACUCCCACUGCACCAUGGCCGUGGAGAGAGAGAGAGGUGGGAAAAAAAACGAGUCAGGUGCUAAAUGUGAACGUGGAUUAGUUUCUAUGCCAACGGCGGGAGGACGCACUCACGCAACCAGCCAGCCAGGGUCCCUGCAAGACACUUGUUUUUGUCCCUCUUGUUUUCUCUCCUCGCCUGCCCUCCCCUCCUCUUCCCUCCCCUCUCCUCUCCGUGCUCUCUCUAUCAGUAGGGGAGAUAAGACUGGGCCCUGUGCCUGGUAUUAAACCUUAUCUCUCCAGCUGGGGCUAAGGCCUGCUGGAUUUGGCUACACGGGCGCUCCAGUUCAACUCAAACAUGCCUUGUUUUAAUGGCCACCCAUUAGCGUCACUUGCCACCAGGAGGCUUGACGUGAUCUAAAAUGGUCUGUUGAGUUUUUAGUUUCCAUCCUGUGCAGGUUGUGGCUGGUUACCAAGUCUUAAAAUGUGUAUAACCUUUCUCUGAACUUUUAUAUGCAAACAGAUAAAUAUUUUAAUUGAUGUACAAGACUUUUCCCCAUGCUGUUCACGCUGCCUUUCCAUUGGAACUACAGCCAACAUUUUCUUUGUGUGAUAUUUCCUCCUGAUGCUGCUGCCCCUCUCUCUAUAAGGGCUGAGAGAGAUGGAGAGACGCUGGGUGGGAGGGAGGGAGGUAGGUUGGGUGGGGAGCGAUAGACAGGAAAGAGGAGAGAGACAGACAAGCGAGAGAGAGACAGGGGCAAAGAAAGCUAGGGGAGAAAUCAGGAGAAGGAGACAGAGGAGAGGAGAUGGGAGGGGAGGGGAGGAAGGUGCACACACAUACACUCAGGCAGGCAGGCAGAAAAGCAAGCAGGAAAGGGUUAAGGUGAAAACAAUAACAAGGGGAGCGGGGAGCGUGCGUCUGUGUGCGCCUCCCUGGAAGUGUCAGGCUCUCUGUUCAUUGACAGUGUCGUGCACCCGCCGCCCCGAGAGCGCCGGCAGCCUCACAAAGACAGACAGCUCGAAUUAAUCCCACGGGGGGAGUGCGUGACAGUUUGGCAGAGCGGAGAAUUGAAAGGGAGGAGGAUGCCGAGAAUGGGGAAGGCGCGAGCAUUUGUCAAAUCAUAAUUAAAUGAUGAAUCACUAUUCCGUUAUUAACGAUAUGCCCACCCGAACCUUCCUUGUAACAAAAAAAAGAAAGAAAAAAAAGAUGGAAAUGGAGAAAUGAACGACCAUCGGCACUGUGGCCACUGAAAAAUAGAGGAUUUAUUGCUGGCUGCUCUUACUUUACAGGGUUGUGGUUACACACAAAGUACUAGUUUGUUGUUAAAGGUUUGCAGUCUUUUCUAUACACAAAAUCAUGACAGUUUGAAAACAUAUAAUUAGAGCAAAUAUCUUUAAAAUGUCUUUGAAAUCAUCAUCAACAAACACAGUGAUUAGAUAUAAGAAA